CUCCAUUUCUUCCCCCGUACUCCCUUCUUGCAGACAUCCAAGCUCAAGGUUCAGGUGGUAACUUUGCAGGAGAUCGAGUUUAUUAGGGAGAUUUGCUUGGUUCAGAUCAUUCUCGCGCCGGAAUCCAAUCGCAUCUCAUUUCUUCAUCUCUAUCUCCUUCCUCAGCAAUGGUAGACAAUAACGUCUUUAUCCCCAUCAUUGACCGUGACCAUAACUUCAAUAUCCGUCCCAUCAUUGACCGUGCGUUGGAAAGGUAUAAUAAUGGAACAAUGGAGGAAGAUGCAAUGUCUCAUUUGCGCAAAUCCGUAGAGAAGUUAAUUCUGUUAACCGUUCGUAAUGCUCUUGAUAAGCUGGCGCAGGAAGAAGGGAAAUUGGGAGUGGGCCCAACGAGAGUUUCUGUAGACCAUGUGAAAUAUGCUUUGCAGUCUCUUGGCUUGGAUGCUAUGACUAGGAAUCAUUAGAUUGGAAGAGUUUGCUGGGCUAAGAUGCUAUUGCUUGUUUUCAAUGGCAUGAAUGAUCUUUUUUGUAUUUCCUCUUUAUUUUGAUCUUAUUCUAGACGAUAUUACAAAUCUAGCUAUCCUAGUGAACUUAUUGACAUUAGCUUUAUGUUUCGCGAAUAGACCUGCCCUUGUGUUGUUCAUUGCCGAUCAAAGGCCUAGCUACUUGAACACUAAUGACAUGAUUUGCUGCAUUAUGAUUGA
Long non-coding RNA from Ipomoea nil (Japanese morning glory), 701 nucleotides. RefSeq lists it as uncharacterized. NCBI's taxonomy places the organism in Eukaryota, Viridiplantae, Streptophyta, Magnoliopsida, Solanales, Convolvulaceae. The record is from RefSeq and is a predicted model, not a curated record. The transcript has 5 exons.